UACGAAGGGGGCUAGCGUUGUUCGGAAUUACUGGGCGUAAAGCGUAUGCAGGCGGACUUUUAAGUCGGGGGUGAAAUCCCGAGGCUCAACCUCGGAACUGCCUUCGAUACUGGAAGUCUUGAGUCCGGGAGAGGUGAGUGGAACUCCGAGUGUAGAGGUGAAAUUCGUAGAUAUUGGGAAGAACACCGGUGGCGAAGGCGGCUCACUGGCCCGUAACUGACGCUCAUGCACGACAGCGUGGGGAUCAAACAGG
RNAcentral lists this ribosomal RNA (253 nucleotides) under uncultured bacterium. RNAcentral describes it as "partial 16S ribosomal RNA". It matches the Rfam family "Bacterial small subunit ribosomal RNA", at positions 524 to 776 of the family's 1533-position model. The record is from RNAcentral.